CCUACGGGAGGCAGCAGUGAGGAAUAUUGGUCAAUGCCCGAAAGGUUGACCAGGCAAAGCCGCGGGAAGGCCGAAGUUGCAAAGCUUUGAAACCUUCUUUUGUAAAGGGAAAAAUCAGGCCCGAGAGCCUGACCGAGGGUACUUGAAGAAAAAGCAUCCGCUAACUCCGGGCCAGCAGCCGCGGGAAUACGGAGGAUGCGAGCGUUAUCCGGAGUUAUUGGGUUUAAAGGGUGCGUAGGCGGACUGUUAAGUCAGCGGUAAAAGCCCGGGGCUCAACCCCGGCGAGCCGUUGAAACUGGCUGUCUUGAGAUGUCGAGAGGUAUGCGGAAUGCGCAGUGUAGCGGUGAAAUGCUUAGAUAUUGCGCAGAACUCCGAUUGCGAAGGCAGCAUACCGGCGGCGAUCUGACGCUGAGGCACGAAAGCGUGGGUAUCGAACAGGAUUAGAUACCCUUGUAGUC
Molecule: ribosomal RNA, 458 nt
Filed under: uncultured bacterium
Lineage: Bacteria
Description: partial 16S ribosomal RNA
Rfam family: Bacterial small subunit ribosomal RNA
Source: RNAcentral